AUGCGGGAACUCUGGAGGGGUGGCGUUUGCAGAUUGAAGCAUUUGGGAAGGAGCAAUCACAGACAACGUCAUUUUCUCAUUUUCACUUUCCAUUGUCUGGCGUCCCCUUCUCACAGCAUCCUUUAGGGGCGCAAAAACGCCGUUUGGCAUCCCCCCGAAACUACACUGAGAGCAGGAAAAAGUGACGCACUCACUGGGCUAUUUACACGGCCGCGUAUUUUUGUGAUGAGAGGACGUGCCACCACAAUGAGACUCUAUGACGAGACAGCAGAUUAGGACAUUUCCUCUAAAAUGAGUCAACAAGAGGAGAGAGAGGAGGACGCUGCCUCUAUAAGCUGUGAACAACCCAUGAAGAGUCAGCCCUCUGCCUUCAGUGACGCAGAAAUGACCUCUGAGCCCAAUGUCAGUAUGAGCAGGAAGAAAAGACAGAGAUCA
Long non-coding RNA from Sinocyclocheilus grahami, 435 nucleotides. RefSeq lists it as uncharacterized. The record is from RefSeq and is a predicted model, not a curated record. Lineage: Eukaryota; Metazoa; Chordata; Actinopteri; Cypriniformes; Cyprinidae. The transcript is spliced from 3 exons.